This 900-nucleotide ribosomal RNA is filed under the name uncultured Actinomycetes bacterium. RNAcentral describes it as "bacterial SSU rRNA". It matches the Rfam family "Bacterial small subunit ribosomal RNA", at positions 8 to 919 of the family's 1533-position model. The record is from RNAcentral. Lineage: Bacteria; Bacillati; Actinomycetota; Actinomycetes.
AGAGAUCAUGGCUCAGGACGAACGCUGGCGGCGUGCUUAACACAUGCAAGUCGAACGAGGUCCAACCAGUCGCAAGACUGGGGAAGACCUAGUGGCGAACGGGUGAGUAACACGUGAGGAACGUGCCCCGGAGACCGGGAUAACAGCGGGAAACCGCUGCUAAUACCGGAUACCUUCUUUUGAUCGCAUGGUCAGCUGAAGAAAUGGAUUCCGCUCCGGGAGCGCCUCGCGGUCUAUCAGCUUGUUGGUGGGGUAACGGCCUACCAAGGCGACGACGGAUAGCUGGUCUGAGAGGACGAUCAGCCACACUGGGACUGAGACACGGCCCAGACUCCUACGGGAGGCAGCAGUGGGGAAUCUUGCCCAAUGGGCGAAAGCCUGAGGCAGCAACGCCGCGUGUGGGAUGAAGGCCCUUGGGUUGUAAACCACUUUCAGCAGGGACGAAAAUGACGGUACCUGCAGAAGAAGCCCCGGCCAACUACGUGCCAGCAGCCGCGGUAAGACGUAGGGGGCGAGCGUUGUCCGGAUUUAUUGGGCGUAAAGAGCUCGUAGGCGGCUCAGAAAGUCGGGUGUGAAACCUCCAGGCUCAACCUGGAGACGCCACCUGAUACUGCUGUGGCUAGAGUCCGGUAGGGGAGCACGGAAUACCCGGUGUAGCGGUGAAAUGCUUAGAUAUCGGGUGGAACACCAGUGGCGAAGGCGGUGCUCUGGGCCGGAACUGACGCUGAGGAGCGAAAGCGUGGGUAGCAAACAGGAUUAGAUACCCUGGUAGUCCACGCCGUAAACGUUGGGCACUAAGUGUGGGACCCUAUCGACGGGAUCCGUGCCGUAGCUAACGCAUUAAGUGCCCCGCCUGGGGAGUACGGCCGCAAGGCUAAACCUCAAAGGAAUUGACGGGGG